GCCUGGGCUGCAGUUCAGUGGCUGAGCAUCUGCUUUGCAUGCAAAAAGGUCCUAGGUUCAAUCCCCAGCAUCCCCAGCUAGGCA
This is a non-coding RNA of Podarcis lilfordi (Lilford's wall lizard), 84 nucleotides long. The record is from the annotation of a GenBank genome assembly. NCBI's taxonomy places the organism in Eukaryota, Metazoa, Chordata, Lepidosauria, Squamata, Lacertidae.